This is a non-coding RNA of Picea glauca (white spruce), 200 nucleotides long. NCBI's taxonomy places the organism in Eukaryota, Viridiplantae, Streptophyta, Pinopsida, Pinales, Pinaceae. The record is from Rfam.
AAUAUAGUUCAAAUUUGUGAAAUGAAUUGAGAUUUGUAGAAUAAGUGGGAAUCGUUUUCGACACAAAUGAAAUACCACUACUUUUAACAUUAUUUUACUUAUAAUUUUGUGGGGCAGAGACGGGGCAGUUACCCUAUUUUUGGCCUUAAUUCAUGUUUCGAUGGGUCGAUAUGGGCGGAAAACAUUGCCAUGUGGGGAUU